Molecule: ribosomal RNA, 465 nt
Filed under: uncultured Klebsiella sp.
Lineage: Bacteria; Pseudomonadati; Pseudomonadota; Gammaproteobacteria; Enterobacterales; Enterobacteriaceae
Description: bacterial SSU rRNA
Rfam family: Bacterial small subunit ribosomal RNA
Source: RNAcentral
CCUACGGGUGGCAGCAGUGGGGAAUAUCGCACAAUGGGCGCAAGCCUGAUGCAGCCAUGCCGCGUGUGUGAAGAACGCCUUCGGGUUGUAAAGCACUUUCAGCGGGGAGGAAGGCGGUGAGGUUAAUAACCUCAUCGAUUGACGUUACCCGCAGAAGAAGCACCGGCUAACUCCGUGCCAGCAGCCGCGGUAAUACGGAGGGUGCAAGCGUUAAUCGGAAUUACUGGGCGUAAAGCGCACGCAGGCGGUCUGUCAAGUCGGAUGUGAAAUCCCCGGGCUCAACCUGGGAACUGCAUUCGAAACUGGCAGUCUAGAGUCUUGUAGAGGGGGGUAGAAUUCCAGGUGUAGCGGUGAAAUGCGUAGAGAUCUGGAGGAAUACCGGUGGCGAAGGCGGCCCCCUGGACAAAGACUGACGCUCAGGUGCGAAAGCGUGGGGAGCAAACAGGAUUAGAUACCCCAGUAGUC